CAGUAGCCGCGGGAAAACAGAGGAUGCAAGCGUUAUCCGGAAUGAUUGGGCGUAAAGCGAGCGCAGGCGGUUAGAUAAGUCUGAAGUUAAAGGCUGUGGCUUAACCAUAGUACGCUUUGGAAACUGUUAAACUUGAGUGCAGGAGAGAAAAGUGGAAUUCCUAGCGUAGCGGUGAAAUGCGUAGAGAUUAGGAGGAACACCAGUGGCGAAGGCGGCUUUUCGGCCUGUAACUGACACUGAGGCGCGAAAGCGUGGGGAGCAAGCAGGAUUAGAUACCCCAGUAGUCCCUGUCUCUUAUACA
This 301-nucleotide ribosomal RNA is filed under the name uncultured bacterium. RNAcentral describes it as "partial 16S ribosomal RNA". It matches the Rfam family "Bacterial small subunit ribosomal RNA", at positions 509 to 808 of the family's 1533-position model. The record is from RNAcentral.